GACGAACGCUGCGGCGUGCUUAACACAUGCAAGUCGAACGAAGAGCGAUGAAGCUUGCUUCUAUUAAUCUUAGUGGCGAACGGGUGAGUAACGCGUAAUCAACCUGCCCUUCAGAGGGGGACACAGUUGGAAACGACUGCUAAUACCGCAUACGAUCCAAUCUCGGCAUCGAGACUGGAUGAAAGGUGGCCUCUAUUUAUAAGCUAUCACUGAAGGAGGGGAUUGCGUCUGAUUAGCUAGUUGGAGGGGUAACGGCCCACCAAGGCGAUGAUCAGUAGCCGGUCUGAGAGGAUGAACGGCCACAUUGGGACUGAGACACGGCCCAGACUCUACGGGAGGCAGCAGUGGGGAAUCUUCCGCAAUGGACGAAAGUCUGACGGAGCAACGCCGCGUGAGUGAUGACGGCCUUCGGGUUGUAAAGCUCUGUUAAUCGGGACGAAUGGUUCUUGUGCAAAUAGUGCGAGGAUUUGACGGUACCGGAAUAGAAAGCCA
Molecule: ribosomal RNA, 492 nt
Filed under: Veillonella atypica
Lineage: Bacteria; Bacillati; Bacillota; Negativicutes; Veillonellales; Veillonellaceae
Description: bacterial SSU rRNA
Rfam family: Bacterial small subunit ribosomal RNA
Source: RNAcentral